CACGUAGGGGGCAAGCGUUGUCCGGAAUCAUUGGGCGUAAAGAGCUCGUAGGCGGCUCAGUAAGUCGGGUGUGAAACCUCCAGGCUCAACCUGGAGACGCCACCCGAUACUGCUGUGGCUAGAGUCCAGUAGGGGAGUGUGGAAUUCCAGGUGUAGCGGUGAAAUGCGUAGAUAUCUGGAGGAACACCGGUGGCGAAGGCGGCAUCCUGGACCAACACUGACGCUGAGGAGCGAAAGCCAGGGGAGCAAACGGG
RNAcentral lists this ribosomal RNA (254 nucleotides) under uncultured bacterium. RNAcentral describes it as "partial 16S ribosomal RNA". It matches the Rfam family "Bacterial small subunit ribosomal RNA", at positions 524 to 776 of the family's 1533-position model. The record is from RNAcentral.